AACGAACGCUGGCGGCAUGCCUAACACAUGCAAGUCGAACGAGACCUUCGGGUCUAGUGGCGCACGGGUGCGUAACGCGUGGGAAUCUGCCCUUGGGUUUGGAAUACCAGUUGGAAACGACUGCUAAUACCGGAUGAUGACGUAUGCCCAAAGAUUUAUCGCCCCAGGAUGAGCCCGCGUAGGAUUAGCUCGUUGGUGAGGUAAAGGCUCACCAAGGCGACGAUCCUUAGCUGGUAUGAGAGGAUGAUCAGCCACACUGCGACUGAGACACGGCCCAGACUCCUACGGGAGGCAGCAGUGGGGAAGAUUGGACAAUGGGCGAAAGACUGAUCCAGCAAUGCCGCGGGAGUGAUGAAGGCGUUAGGGUUGUAAAGCUCUUUUACCCGGGAUGAUAAUGAGAGUACCGGGAGAAUAAGCUCCGGCUAACUCCGU
This 432-nucleotide ribosomal RNA is filed under the name uncultured bacterium. RNAcentral's name for it is "partial 16S ribosomal RNA". It matches the Rfam family "Bacterial small subunit ribosomal RNA", at positions 29 to 506 of the family's 1533-position model. The record is from RNAcentral.